Molecule: ribosomal RNA, 350 nt
Filed under: uncultured Spirotrichea
Lineage: Eukaryota; Ciliophora; Spirotrichea
Description: SSU rRNA
Rfam family: Eukaryotic small subunit ribosomal RNA
Source: RNAcentral
UAAUUCUAGAGCUAAUACAUGCUGUGCGCCUAACUUCAUGGAAAGGCGGUAUUUAUUAGAUAACAACCAAUAUUCCCUAGGUCUAUCGUGGUGAGUCAUAAUAACUGAUCGAAUUGCAAAGCCUUUGGCUGCGAUAAGUCAUUCAAGUUUCUGCCCCAUCAGCUGUAGAUGGUAGUGUAUUGGACUACCAUGGCUUUCACGGGUAACGGAGGAUUAGGGUUCGAUUCCGGAGAGGGAGCCUGAGAAACGGCUACCACAUCUAAGGAAGGCAGCAGGCGCGUAAAUUACCCAAUCCUGACUCAGGGAGGUAGUGACAAGAAAUAACGAGCAGUGACAUCUGUUACUGAAUU